This 459-nucleotide ribosomal RNA is filed under the name uncultured bacterium. Its description in RNAcentral is "partial 16S ribosomal RNA". It matches the Rfam family "Bacterial small subunit ribosomal RNA", at positions 338 to 795 of the family's 1533-position model. The record is from RNAcentral.
CCUACGGGAGGCAGCAGUGAGGAAUAUUGGUCAAUGGGCGGGAGCCUGAACCAGCCAAGUAGCGUGAAGGAUGACAGCCCUAUGGGUUGUAAACUUCUUUUAUAAGGGAAUAAAGUGCCCCACGUGUGGGGUUUUGUAUGUACCUUAUGAAUAAGCAUCGGCUAAUUCCGUGCCAGCAGCCGCGGUAAUACGGAAGAUGCGAGCGUUAUCCGGAUUUAUUGGGUUUAAAGGGUGCGUAGGCGGUUCCAUAAGUCAGCGGUAAAAGCGUGCGGCUCAACCGUACCGUGCCGUUGAAACUGUGGGUCUUGAGUAUGCGCAGGGUACAUGGAAUUCGUGGUGUAGCGGUGAAAUGCUUAGAUAUCACGCAGAACUGCGAUCGCGAAGGCAUUGUACCAGAGCAAGACUGACGCUGAGGCUCGAAAGUGCGGGUAUCAAACAGGAUUAGAUACCCUAGUAGUC